Molecule: long non-coding RNA, 941 nt
Organism: Xenia sp. Carnegie-2017
Lineage: Eukaryota; Metazoa; Cnidaria; Anthozoa; Malacalcyonacea; Xeniidae
Exons: 5
Source: RefSeq, a predicted model, not a curated record
AUAUCUACGAACGGAACAUAAAAAUUGAUGAAAUUGAAGUGAACUUAAUAGUAGGCAAGACACAGAAUAUAUACUAUACAGAAGGGUCACUCUUGUCGGAGCCUUUGAUGUUUUGGGGGCCGCGCAUGCUGCUUCGCGCAUCUCGGCCGCCAUCUUCCUUGCCAGUCAAUUUCUGACAAACAAUAUAAGGAUUGUAAAGAGAAGUACAAAUAUUUGCCUGUAUCUCUUCAAUAAGGUCGUAGAUUUGUUCCUAGCGAGAGUUUGAAAAAAUUUGAGUGGUUUGGCACUUUGAUGCAGUUUAGAAGUUCAGAUGACCUGCAUCAUAAUGUAUUGAAAAAGCAUUGAAUCUUGACAGUCACUUUCAUUUGAUUCAUCCGAGGUGUAUGCGGGUUCAUUUAUUUUCCUUCUAAAGAUGGAGAAAUCAAAACAGGAAUGCUUGAGUCAGCUUUGCAGAAUUGUGCCACUUCCUGAAAGCACGGGUGAACUGGAUGGAGGUCGGAUUGUCGCUGUUGCCACCCUGCUGACGAAUUGCUCCAAAAAAGUUCACUAUUGGGUGUAUUAUUGGAUAGUAUAGCACUUGUUUGGCAAGAAAAAUCUGAAGUUUGGCUUUCUGUACUAGGCCCACUUUCAUCAACUUCGUGCAAUGGUGAAUGUUUAUCUGGUGGCUCUAAACAUAAACUUAAGAGUAAUAACUAAUUCAAAGUGGUGACCAAAAGCUUGAGAUGGAAAAUAAAAUGCAAAAUGAAUAACUUUAGCUAUAAUUACAUCUCACCAAUACUAAUGGUCAAGAAUUAGAACUGAAAUAGUUUCCCAUAUAUCAAUGAAAUCAUGCAAUGAAAUCAUACAAUAGAACUUCUCAUACCACCUUUCCUUUUUUCCUGAUCUUUAUCCAUUUUAGAUUUUUUGGCUGUAAAAUAAAUUUGUCUAAUUUCAUCUUGAAA